RNAcentral lists this ribosomal RNA (253 nucleotides) under uncultured bacterium. RNAcentral's name for it is "partial 16S ribosomal RNA". It matches the Rfam family "Bacterial small subunit ribosomal RNA", at positions 524 to 776 of the family's 1533-position model. The record is from RNAcentral.
UACGUAGGGUGCAGGCGUUAAUCGGAAUUACUGGGCGUAAAGCGUGCGCAGGCGGUUUGUUAAGACAGGUGUGAAAUCCCCGGGCUCAACCUGGGAACUGCAUUUGUGACUGCAUGGCUAGAGUACGGUAGAGGGGGAUGGAAUUCCGCGUGUAGCAGUGAAAUGCGUAGAUAUGCGGAGGAACACCGAUGGCGAAGGCAAUCCCCUGGACCUGUACUGACGCUCAUGCACGAAAGCGUGGGGAGCAAACAGG